UGAAGCCCCCGGCAGAGCUGGUGUUGGUGGCCAUCUUGGAGCCUGCUGUCAAGUCCUUGCUCCUCCUCUUCUCCCUGGUCAUCCUGCUACUGAAGACCCGCAAGAAGGAGGUGGUCAGGCCCUCACAGAAAGAGAGGAUCCCAAACACCACCAAGUAUUAAUCUCUCAGUUUUAGGGACUGUCCAAAUGCAUAUGACACAAGGGGAGAAGACCGGUGUUGGCCCUGAGACUAUCACUCCAGCUAUCGAUGCCACUGUGAGCACUGCAACCUUCAACCACAGAGAACUCUGAAAGACAAAUUUGUGUUUUCUAUGGCAAGAAAUGCUCAUUUGUAUAGAGAGGAACUGGGGCAAUUUCUGAACCCUUCACAUCCAGCAGGGCAGCCCCCAUAGGAACGCCCCCUCUGCCCUGGUUCAGAGACUCUGUCUCCCUCCUCUCUUACAUAAGCCCUAGGAGUAAGACUC
This is a long non-coding RNA of Erinaceus europaeus (western European hedgehog), 464 nucleotides long. RefSeq lists it as uncharacterized. Lineage: Eukaryota; Metazoa; Chordata; Mammalia; Eulipotyphla; Erinaceidae. The transcript has 3 exons. The record is from RefSeq and is a predicted model, not a curated record.